This 338-nucleotide unclassified non-coding RNA is filed under the name soil metagenome. RNAcentral describes it as "partial contains 5.8S ribosomal RNA, internal transcribed spacer 2, and large subunit ribosomal RNA". The stretch from base 1 to 120 matches the Rfam family "5.8S ribosomal RNA", at positions 35 to 154 of the family's 154-position model. The record is from RNAcentral.
GAUGAAGAACGUAGCGAAAUGCGAUAAGUAAUGUGAAUUGCAGAAUUCAGUGAAUCAUUGAAUCUUUGAACGCACAUUGCGCCCGCCAGCAUUCUGGCGGGCAUGCCUGUUCGAGCGUCAUUUCAACCCUCAAGCUCUGCUUGGUGUUGGGGCCCUACGGUUGACGUAGGCCCUUAAAGGUAGUGGCGGACCCUCUCGGAGCCUCCUUUGCGUAGUAACUAACGUCUCGCAUUGGGAUUCGGAGGGACUCUUGCCGUAAAACCCCCAAAUUUUCUAAUGGUUGACCUCGGAUCAGGUAGGAAUACCCGCUGAACUUAAGCAUAUCAAUAAGCGGAGGA